UACGUAGGGGGCUAGCGUUGUCCGGAUUUAUUGGGCGUAAAGAGCUCGUAGGCGGCUUGUUGCGUCGACCGUGAAAACCCGGGGCUCAACUUCGGGCUUGCGGUCGAUACGGGCGGGCUAGAGUUCGGUAGGGGAGACUGGAAUUCCUGGUGUAGCGGUGAAAUGCGCAGAUAUCAGGAGGAACACCGGUGGCGAAGGCGGGUCUCUGGGCCGAUACUGACGCUGAGGAGCGAAAGCGUGGGGAGCGAACAGG
This 253-nucleotide ribosomal RNA is filed under the name uncultured bacterium. Its description in RNAcentral is "partial 16S ribosomal RNA". It matches the Rfam family "Bacterial small subunit ribosomal RNA", at positions 524 to 776 of the family's 1533-position model. The record is from RNAcentral.